GAUGAACGCUGGCGGCGUGCCUAAUACAUGCAAGUCGAGCGAACAGACGAGGCGCUUGCUCCUCUGACGUUAGCGGCGGACGGGUGAGUAACACGUGGAUAACCUACCUAUAAGACUGGGAUAACUUCGGGAAACCGGAGCUAAUACCGGAUAAUAUAUUGAACCGCAUGGUUCAAUAGUGAAAGACGGUUUUGCUGUCACUUAUAGAUGGAUCCGCGCCGCAUUAGCUAGUUGGUAAGGUAACGGCUUACCAAGGCGACGAUGCGUAGCCGACCUGAGAGGGUGAUCGGCCACACUGGAACUGAGACACGGUCCAGACUCCUACGGGAGGCAGCAGUAGGGAAUCUUCCGCAAUGGGCGAGAGCCUGACGGAGCAACGCCGCGUGAGUGAUGAAGGUCUUCGGAUCGUAAAACUCUGUUAUUAGGGAAGAACAAAUGUGUAAGUAACUAUGCACGUCUUGACGGUACCUAAUCAGAAAGCCACGGCUAACUACGUG
Molecule: ribosomal RNA, 497 nt
Filed under: uncultured bacterium
Lineage: Bacteria
Description: partial 16S ribosomal RNA
Rfam family: Bacterial small subunit ribosomal RNA
Source: RNAcentral